Molecule: long non-coding RNA, 762 nt
Filed under: Mus caroli (Ryukyu mouse)
Lineage: Eukaryota; Metazoa; Chordata; Mammalia; Rodentia; Muridae
Description: predicted gene 43703 (MGP_CAROLIEiJ_G0006231.1)
Source: RNAcentral
CACGAGCGGGGGCGGCAGGAAUGUGCGCCUGAUGGUAGGGUGAGAGGCUGCGGGUCCGGAAAUGGCCAAGGGUCCCCUGGAGUGGGAGCAGGGUCCGAGCCCGAGCCUGCCGCAUCUUCCGGGAGCGCAGCUGGGGGCGGCUCUCCGCCUGGCUGCCCCUGGGUCUGGUUGGCUUCAGUUUCCGCGUCCCCCUUCAAAGGAAGUCUGAGCCCACCCUGCCACCACGGAUAAACUGCUGUUCCUUCUGUCGCCGACUCCCUAGCGUUUAUAUUUUAGACUGGAGUAACAUUUCUAAUUAUUUCUCUACUACACUCUUCUUAAUGUCCGUCCCUCUCUUGGAAGUUAAAAGAAGGCAUCAGGCUGGAUCAGGUAAAGACUUACUGUAGGGGCUGGCCAGAUGGUUCAGUGGGCAAACGCAACUGUCACCUAGGCAGAUUUGAGUUUAUUUCCCAGGACCCACAUGGUCAGAAAGAACCAACUGAUGUUGUCCUCUGACCUCCACACGUGCAACUUGGCCUGAGCAACACACAUUUAUACACACGCACGCACGCGCACACAUACACAUAUGCACGCCUGCUUUCAACAAAAUUCUUUUCAAAAUGAAGACAGACAUGAUAGCCCAUGUAGCAGGCUUGGACGAUUGCUGAACAUUUAAAGGCAGCCUGAGUUACAGAGUGAAUAUCGGGUCAGCCCCUGCUGCCGUGUAAAAGAGCACCUGAAAUGUAGUUCAUCUGGCAAAGUUGGUAAAGUGUUUGCCUAGCA